This 253-nucleotide ribosomal RNA is filed under the name uncultured bacterium. Its description in RNAcentral is "partial 16S ribosomal RNA". It matches the Rfam family "Bacterial small subunit ribosomal RNA", at positions 524 to 776 of the family's 1533-position model. The record is from RNAcentral.
UACGAAGGGGGCUAGCGUUGCUCGGAAUCACUGGGCGUAAAGCGCACGUAGGCGGCUUCUUAAGUCAGGGGUGAAAUCCUGGAGCUCAACUCCAGAACUGCCUUUGAUACUGAGAGGCUUGAGUCCGGGAGAGGUGAGUGGAACUGCGAGUGUAGAGGUGAAAUUCGUAGAUAUUCGCAAGAACACCAGUGGCGAAGGCGGCUCACUGGCCCGGUACUGACGCUGAGGCACGAAAGCGUGGGGAGCAAACAGG